GACGAACCGUGCGAACGUUGUUCGGAAUCACUGGGCUUAAAGGGCGCGUAGGCGGGCUCGCAAGUCAGGGGUGAAAGCCCGCGGCUCAACCGCGGAAGCGCCUUUGAUACUGCGGGCCUCGAGGGGGGUAGGGGCGUGCGGAACUUCCGGUGGAGCGGUGAAAUGCGUAGAUAUCGGAAGGAACACCGGUGGCGAAAGCGGCGCGCUGGACCCCCACUGACGCUGAGGCGCGAAAGCGUGGGGAGCAAACAGG
This 253-nucleotide ribosomal RNA is filed under the name uncultured bacterium. Its description in RNAcentral is "partial 16S ribosomal RNA". It matches the Rfam family "Bacterial small subunit ribosomal RNA", at positions 524 to 776 of the family's 1533-position model. The record is from RNAcentral.